RNAcentral lists this unclassified non-coding RNA (328 nucleotides) under soil metagenome. RNAcentral's name for it is "partial contains 5.8S ribosomal RNA, internal transcribed spacer 2, and large subunit ribosomal RNA". The stretch from base 1 to 120 matches the Rfam family "5.8S ribosomal RNA", at positions 35 to 154 of the family's 154-position model. The record is from RNAcentral.
GAUGAAGAACGUAGCGAAAUGCGAUAAGUAGUGUGAAUUGCAGAAUUCAGUGAAUCAUCGAAUCUUUGAACGCACAUUGCGCCCCUUGGUAUCCCGAGGGGCAUGCCUGUUCGAGCGUCAUUUCACCACUCAAGCCUGGCUUGGUGUUGGGCGACGUCCCCUUUAGGGACGCGCCUCGAAACGCUCGGCGGCGUGGCACCGGCUUUAAGCGUAGCAGAAUCUUUCGCUUUGGAAGUCGGGGCCCCGCCUGCCGGAAUACCUACUCGUAAGGUUGACCUCGGAUCAGGCAGGGAUACCCGCUGAACUUAAGCAUAUCAAUAAGCGGAGG